UGGGCCUGCUACUCUGAUGAAAUGUGCUCC
This 30-nucleotide non-coding RNA is filed under the name Homo sapiens (human). Lineage: Eukaryota; Metazoa; Chordata; Mammalia; Primates; Hominidae. The record is from RNAcentral.